This 708-nucleotide ribosomal RNA is filed under the name Lachnobacterium sp. G10. Its description in RNAcentral is "bacterial SSU rRNA". It matches the Rfam family "Bacterial small subunit ribosomal RNA", at positions 19 to 725 of the family's 1533-position model. The record is from RNAcentral. RNAcentral also lists the same sequence under 1 other name. Lineage: Bacteria; Bacillati; Bacillota; Clostridia; Lachnospirales; Lachnospiraceae.
AUGGCUCAGGAUGAACGCUGGCGGCGUGCUUAACACAUGCAAGUCGAACGAAGCGCAUUGUUUGAAUUCUUCGGAAGGAAGAUAAUGUGACUGAGUGGCGGACGGGUGAGUAACGCGUGGGUAACCUGCCAUGUACAGGGGGACAACAGUUGGAAACGGCUGCUAAUACCGCAUAAGCGCACGAGAUUGCAUGAUCUAGUGUGAAAAACUCCGGUGGUAUAUGAUGGACCCGCGUCUGAUUAGCUAGUUGGUAAGGUAACGGCUUACCAAGGCGACGAUCAGUAGCCGACCUGAGAGGGUGACCGGCCACAUUGGGACUGAGACACGGCCCAGACUCCUACGGGAGGCAGCAGUGGGGAAUAUUGCACAAUGGGCGAAAGCCUGAUGCAGCGACGCCGCGUGAACGAAGAAGUAUUUCGGUAUGUAAAGUUCUAUCAGCAGGGAAGAAGAAAUGACGGUACCUGACUAAGAAGCCCCGGCUAACUACGUGCCAGCAGCCGCGGUAAUACGUAGGGGGCAAGCGUUAUCCGGAUUUACUGGGUGUAAAGGGAGCGCAGGCGGCCCGGCAAGUCUGAUGUGAAAACCCAAGGCUCAACCAUGGGAUUGCAUUGGAAACUGUCGAGCUAGAGUAUCGGAGGGGUAAGUGGAAUUCCUAGUGUAGCGGUGAAAUGCGUAGAUAUUAGGAGGAACACCAGUGGCGAAGGCGGC